RNAcentral lists this small RNA (777 nucleotides) under Pongo abelii (Sumatran orangutan). Its description in RNAcentral is "processed transcript". The record is from RNAcentral. Lineage: Eukaryota; Metazoa; Chordata; Mammalia; Primates; Hominidae.
GAUGAACUUAACAGAACGAGAAAAGAUGAACAUUAGAGUUGUACUUCUCUCAGGGAAUGAUACUCUCCAUGACCUGUGCCAAUCACAGCUACCAGAAAACAAAGAGAGGAAAGAAGAAAACGUCUCAAGAACCAGAAAUGGCUAAGGAUUGUGAGAGAGAGGAUAUACCUAUAUAUCCAGUACUUCCUCAUGUGCAAAAAUCUGAGGAAAUGUGGAUUGAACAAGGCAAAUUAGAGUGGAAAAACCAAUUAAAACUCGUCACAAAUGAGUUAAAGCAGAGGUUUGGUGAAAUUUGUGAAAAAUACAAAAUUCUGGCUUGUCCUGAGGAAGAGCCACUACUUGAUAACUCUACAAGAGGAAUAGAUGUAAAGGAUAUUCCCUUUAAUUUGACAAAUAACAUACCUGGUUGUGAGGAAGAAGAUGCAUCUGAAAUAUCUGUCUCAGUGGUAUUUGAGACAUUUCCUGAACAAAAAGAACCCAAUCUCAAAAAUAUCAUCCAUCCAUACUAUCAUCCAUACUCUGGGUCGCAGGAACAUGUUUGCCAGUCGUCUAAGUUUCAUUUACAUGAAAAUAAAUUAGACUGCGACAAUGAUAACAAACCAGGCAUUGGACAUAUUUUUAGUACAGAUAAGAACUUUCAUAAUGAUGCAAGCGCUAAGAAAGCAAGGAACCCAGAAGUGGUUACAGUUGAAAUGAAAGAAGACCAAGAGUUUGAUUUGCAAAUGACAAAAAAUAUGAACCAAAAUAGUGACAGUGGCAGUACAAAUAACUAUAAAA